GACGAACGCUGGCGGCGUGCUUAACACAUGCAAGUCGAACGGAAAGGCCCUGCUUUUGUGGGGUGCUCGCGUGGCGCACGGGUGAGUAACCCGUGAGUAACCUGCCCUUUACUUUGGGAUAACUUCAGGAAACUGGUGCUAAUACCGGAUAGGAGCUCCUGCUGCAUGGUGGGGGUUGGAAAGCUUCGGCGGUUGGGGAUGGACUCGCGGCUUAUCAGCUUGUUGGUUGGGUAGUGGCUUACCAAGGCUUCGAAGGGUAGCCGGCCUGAGAGGGGGGCCGGGGACCUGGGGCCUGAGAGACGGAGCAGUGUGGAACGGGAGGCAGCGGGCGGAAACAUGAUACAAUGGGCGGGAGCCUGUUACAGAGACGCUGCGUGCGGGAAGACGGCCUUCGUGUGGUGAACCGCAGUAGCUUGUGACGAAGCGUGAGUGACGUUAAUAGGUAAAGAAGCACCGGCUAACUACGUG
RNAcentral lists this ribosomal RNA (468 nucleotides) under uncultured bacterium. Its description in RNAcentral is "partial 16S ribosomal RNA". It matches the Rfam family "Bacterial small subunit ribosomal RNA", at positions 28 to 507 of the family's 1533-position model. The record is from RNAcentral.